This 484-nucleotide ribosomal RNA is filed under the name uncultured bacterium. RNAcentral's name for it is "partial 16S ribosomal RNA". It matches the Rfam family "Bacterial small subunit ribosomal RNA", at positions 30 to 507 of the family's 1533-position model. The record is from RNAcentral.
AUUGAACGCUGGCGGCAGGCCUAACACAUGCAAGUCGAGCGGAUGAAGGGAGCUUGCUCCUGGAUUCAGCGGCGGACGGGUGAGUAAUGCCUAGGAAUCUGCCUGGUAGUGGGGGAUAACGUCCGGAAACGGGCGCUAAUACCGCAUACGUCCUGAGGGAGAAAGUGGGGGAUCUUCGGACCUCACGCUAUCAGAUGAGCCUAGGUCGGAUUAGCUAGUUGGUGGGGUAAAGGCCUACCAAGGCGACGAUCCGUAACUGGUCUGAGAGGAUGAUCAGUCACACUGGAACGGAGACACGGUCCAGACUCCUACGGGAGGCAGCAGUGGGGAAUAUUGGACAAUGGGCGGAAGCCUGAUCCAGCCAUGCCACGUGUGCGAAGAAGGUCUUCGGAUUGUAAAGCACUUUAAGUUGGGGGGAAGGGCAGUAAGUUAAUACCUUGCUGUUUUGACGUUACCAACAGAAUAAGCACCGGCUAACUUCGUG